CAUAUAGUUAAAAACUAAUUUGUAAUUUCGAUUAAAUUAGAGUGGUUACGAUUAACUUUGAUUACAUGAAAAAAAAAAUGAUUGUACUUAUUGUGAAGUGUAUGGUCAAUAAGGUACUAAAAAGGGGGUAUAUUAUGGUGGGACUAUUUUGUUGUCAAACUACCAAAAGAAAAGAGUAAAAGAAGUGAAGGGCAGUUUCGUCUUUUUCUGGAUAACUGCCAAAGUCCUAGCCUGCAUAAGGCAAGAUUCACAUAAUCCUCAAGCCAAAAUAAAAAGAUAAAAAAAAAAAUUCAGGAAAUAAGUGUGUAACAUGUUUAGAAAUGAUAAAUGUACCCGUAAGUAUUUGUUGACUGUAAAUGCGUAAGGGAUAAUAGGUUGAAGUUGAACUGAAGCAGAAGUGUAUGCAUUGUUGAAAGACUUAACAAAAAAUAGAAAGAUAAAUAUAUGCCAUCAAAUUAUUAAUAAGUAAAGUAAAAAGAAUUUAGCAGCUUUAUUAAUGACUAUUAAGAUUGAUCCUCUAUCUAAAAAAGACAUCUCAUGAAUAGUGAUUACCACAGCUGAGAGAUUAUGCAUCGACAUAUGAAGAUAAGGAAGAUGAAUGCUGGCAUGAAUGGAAAGAACUUUCACACUUUGUUCCCCUGUUCACCAGCAUAAUCAGAUUGUUAGGAAACUAAUUGACAUUGAUUUGAUAGAGAAAGAACAAAUGUGAAAUUUAUAUGUAAAAAGUCAAAAGGCAGCCAAAACACAUAAAAUAACAAAAUAUUACCCUUGUUUUUCAUCCCAAUUAAUAGCCAUAGUCUCGUCCCCUGCUACUACGAAUGAAGAAACAAAAAGAUAAAACCACAAGAUUAAUGAUUGUGUGUAAUAAGUAAAUAAGCCAAGUGAACUUACAUUUUGAAAGGUUCUUGGGGUUGGGGAACACACAGACCGUCUCCACAGCUGAAGCUGGACUAAAAUUUCAACCUUUAAAGUACUGAAAAUCAUCACCAAUAGCCCCAAAUAUCUCUUCCUUCCAAAAUAGUUUCAGCAACAAAAUCAGAAUCAAUGUCUACUUCAGAGUCUGACUCACUACACCUAGAAAUUGGGAACAACACCAUUAAUGGCAAGCACAACCUGAAUAAUCAUAUCAUGAAAUAAAAUUAGCAAACAAACAACAUCCACAAACCAAAUGCCGCUCAUUCAGAGCCAUGGCUAGAAAUUAGGUUUCAAGUUUAGGAUUUUCUUUUAUAUAAUUAGCAGGUUGGUAGCCAGUAGAAACUCAACCCAUGCGGUAGAAAUCGAUAAAUGGCAUCAAAAUCUAGGAUUAAAAAACAUCAAGGGUAAUACAACAUAAACAGAUCUCAGUUGAACUUCAUAGAUUACAUGAAACGAAUACUCACUUACAACAAUUGAGUGUACAGAUAUUACAGUAUAUAGCCCACAAUGGCAACAUACUUACAUUUUGCUACCAACAUAUGCAAUACACUUGAUUUGUUAUAUUUUGCUAUAAUCAGUAAAGUAAUGUAAGUUGCUAUUAUGAGUAAAUUAAAAAAAAACCCCUCAAAAGUUUAUUACUAUAAUUGGUUGGUUAAAAAAAAAGAAAAAGAAAAAAAAAAACUGAAAGAGCAAUGAUCCGAGUGGUUAGUUUUCCAAAAAAAAUCCCAAAGUUCUAUGCUAUAUUUGGUUGGUUUUAAGAAAAAAUAAACGUGUAAUGCUAUAACCGGUUAGUUAUUAAAAAAAACACAAAGUAUAUUGCUAUAUUUGGUUUGUUUAAAAAAACUCAAAGUGAUAUGCAAUAAUUGGUUGAUUUAAAAAAGUUAAUGUGCAAUGUUAUAGUUGGUUAGUUUUUCAAAAAAAAAAAAAUUACAAUGCUAUAAUUUGUUAGUUUUUGACAAAGAAAUUAAAAGUGCAAUUUUAUAGUUGGUUAUCUUUCAAAAGAACUCGAAGUCAAAUGCUAUAAUUGGCUAGUUUUAUUAAUUAAAAAAAACUCAAAGUACAAAGCUCUAAUAGGUUUGUUUUAUAAAAAACUAAAAGUGAUAUGUUUUCCAAAAAAAAAAAAAAAAUUCAAAAUAGUAUGCUAUAAUUGGUUAAGUUUUUGCAUUUAACCCAUAAGAGCUAAAUCCAAGAAAUAGAAACAUAUAUGUAUCUUCCUUGUGGAAUUUCGUUUCCAUGUAAGCUUACCUCUAUAAAGAUGCCAUCUGCAAGAAUAUGCAGGUUUGGAUUAUCUGGUCUGAAGCGGCCACAAGGUGGACUCAUCACAUCAUUUUAUCUCAGCUCCCACUUAAGAGGCUGCAAAAUGAAAUUACAUGUCAAAAGGAACACCACCGUCCUUUAGGCUGAUUAAAGGAUGAAAAUAAAUAGGACUUCUCGCUCUUAUGGUAACAUUAACAAGUAAUCACAUCAUAUGCUUCUGUUUGAGCUAUAAUAGGUGUUAAGAGAUAGCCUCCUUCCAUCGACUUCUGAUAGAAAUAAUUCGAAGCAAAAUGGUAUAAUACACACAAAACGAAUGAAAGUAAGUUGUUAUUUCUGAAAUUUUGCCCUACAAACAAAACCAAAACCGCACCCUGUAAUAGGAAGAANGAAACUAUAUCUUCUAUAAUAAACAGGUCAAUGAAAGCAUAUUGUUAUUAAUAGCAUUUAUUAUUUUUUAUGGAAAAAGCCAACAAAUGCAAAAGCAACAACUAAUUUUGUGUAUUAUAGAAUCCAAACCAAUGGAUGUAUACUGGUAUUGCUUGCAUUCAAAUGCAAAAAAGGGUAUCAAAAUUGUUACUUUGACAACAUCCAAAUUAUAUGUACAAAGAAGAGGACCCAACUUUAACUUCAUGUAAUUUUAGUUAAUAAUGGAAAAGAAUCCUCUCCAAAAUCUUACUUGAUACAUGGAUAAAAUUAUAAUUUUGAGCUCUUAUAAGCCUUUGAAUUAUCUAAGGAGAUUUAAGAUAAAAAUCAAUUCAAAGUACAAAAAUAAUCCCACUAUUUGUUAUCCUUACAAUCAUCGGAAGAAAAUGAACCAAUUAGCAACAAAAAUAAUUUAUCUAUAACAACUAUCAAGUAAGGGACUUAACAGAAUUUGUCCACAGAACAUACCUUCAAACUAAUGUAUACCUCCGAGCUCUGUUUUCAUGUUGUGUGUCAUUUCCCUGUCAUCAAAUUAUUAGAAUUACAUGACAUACUCGAAUCAAAAUAAAUUUUUACAAAAUUGAUAUAUUAAAAUCAAUAGAACUACAAGCAAAUCUAAAUACUUUUUUUUGAAUGGGUUAAUAGCUCCCAGACUUGUUGUCUCAAGCAAAGUGUUUCCAAAUCAUUCCCUAUUUUUAUGUUUUGCAGGCUGUUCAUCAUCCAACCUUCCUGAAAAUGAUGAGCAAGAUGUAACAAAUAGUUGAUUAAUAGCUGAAAAUUAAGAAUUUGAGUAGAAAAUUAAUUGCUGAAAAUUAAGAUAUUAAGAAUUUAAGUAGAAAUACUAUCACCAAAGAAACUUUUUCCCACCAGAAACAAUAAAUGGCAAACUGGAUUCUAACACCAUCAAGUUAGAAGUCGUUGAAAAUCUGGCACCCAAAUGCAAAUGAUGAGAGACAGAGAGGGAGCAGUGGCAAGCACUGAUAGAUGUUCGUCGAUUUUAGGGUGAAAGUGAUACGAAAUAGGGGUAGCAAUGGUGGGUUUAGGGCUAAGAAAGAUUUAAAAAAUCGAAAUAACUCACACACGCUUCUAAAUAAACCGCAACAAAGAAGGGAGAGAAAGAACCUAAACAUGGGAAGCGGAGGCGGAAAAAGGAAUUACUCUUUAUCAUCCUAUCUUGUAAACGUCUUUAACCAUGUGAACGAGAGGGGAGCUAUGGUAUACCGGCAGUGGGAGGCAGUUGUUACCAAAAUUAGGAUAGAGAUAAAAGAAGCAGGAGGCGGCAAGUUGAACCCACAAAACUAAGCAAGAGGUAGCUGUAAAAGAGAAGAAGGAUUGUGACUAAGCAGGCAAUUAAAUUAGGGAUUUUUCAUAAAAGAGGAUGUCAGUUAAUAAGCAACGAAUCAUCAGUCAUAUAAGCAGGAGGCGGAGAGCUGGAGAUAUGGGCACUUCAAACAAAGCAGCAGGUGGCGAGUUGUAUGAUUGACGAAGCAAAGAAGAGCAAUACGACAAACAGGAGACGAAGGAUUGGAAAGAAUAAACAUGGGAAAGAGUUUGGUUUCUUAUUGGCUUAAAAUAGUUGGUGACUUGUAGUUGGAGAUUGCACAGCUCGAUCUAGAUUCUAGGGAUUCAAUAUACAUGCAGAUGGAUAACUUUGAUUAAACACUUCACAAAUCGAUUUAGGGAUUCAUAAAUCGAUGGUGAAAUAAAACCUAGGGCUUCAAAUUAAUCAACUUAUUGGUCGAAAUUAAAAUUUAUAUUUGGUAAAACCAAUAGCGGCGUGUAAAGCCAGGUAGGAGGGAAGCAAUUACGUGAAGAGAUAGAUGAAUAGGAGAUACAAACACGUCUCAUCAAGGAAAGCUGGAGUGGCAGAAGACGUCAAUGAAGCAUCUCGGUGGCGAGAAGCUUACGUCCCAGGAGUUUGCAAGGCGGUGACCGACUUCCAAUUGGAUAAGACUGGUUAUGAUAAUAAGCAAGCAAGCAUUUUGGUGAAACAGGCAAGCNNNNN
Molecule: long non-coding RNA, 4600 nt
Filed under: Lactuca sativa (garden lettuce)
Lineage: Eukaryota; Viridiplantae; Streptophyta; Magnoliopsida; Asterales; Asteraceae
Description: long non-coding RNA (LSAT_LNC009615)
Source: RNAcentral